GAUGAACGCUGGCGGCGUGCCUAAUACAUGCAAGUCGAGCGAACAGACGAGGAGCUUGCUCCUCUGACGUUAGCGGCGGACGGGUGAGUAACACGUGGAUAACCUACCUAUAAGACUGGGAUAACUUCGGGAAACCGGAGCUAAUACCGGAUAAUAUAUUGAACCGCAUGGUUCAAUAGUGAAAGACGGUUUUGCUGUCACUUAUAGAUGGAUCCGCGCCGCAUUAGCUAGUUGGUAAGGUAACGGCUUACCAAGGCAACGAUGCGUAGCCGACCUGAGAGGGUGAGCGGCCAACAUGGAACUGAGACACGGUCCAGACGCCUACGGGAGGCAGCAGUAGGGAAUCUUCCGCAAUGGGCGAAAGCUUGACGGAGCAACGCCGCGGGAGUGAUGAAGGUCUUCGGAUCGUAAAACGCUGUUAUUAGGGAAGAACAAAUGUGUAAGUAACUAUGCACGUCUGGACGGUACCUAAGCAGAAAACCACGGCUAACUACGU
RNAcentral lists this ribosomal RNA (496 nucleotides) under uncultured bacterium. RNAcentral describes it as "partial 16S ribosomal RNA". It matches the Rfam family "Bacterial small subunit ribosomal RNA", at positions 28 to 506 of the family's 1533-position model. The record is from RNAcentral.